UCUUGUAUACACCUUCUCCAUGUUUUCCUAGGUCUACCAACUGGUCUCCUUCCUUCUACCUCCAAUCUCUCCAACACUCCCAGCACUGUAUCCUCCCCUGCUCUCUUUACAUGUCCAAACCAUUGGAGUCUUUCCCUUCUGAGCACUGUUUCCAGGUCCUCUACUAAAACUCCCAGCACUGUGUCCUCCCCUGCUCUCUUUACAUGUCCAAACCAUUGGAGUCUUUCCCUUCUGAGCACUGUUUCCAGGUCCUCUACUAAAACUCCCAGCACUGUGUCCUCCCCUGCUCUCUUUACAUGUCCAAACCAUCAGAGUCUUUCCCUUCUGAGCACUGUUUCCAGGUCCUCUACUAAAACUCCCAGCACUGUGUCCUCCCCUGCUCUCUUUACAUGUCCAAACCAUCGGAGUCUUUCCCUUCUGAGCACUGUUUCCAGGUCCUCUACUAAAACUCCCAGCACUGUAUCCUCCCCUGCUCUCUUUACAUGUCCAAACCAUCGGAGUCUUUCCCUUCUGAGCACUGUUUCCAGGUCCUCUACUAAAACUCCCAGCACUGUAUCCUCCCCUGCUCUCUUUACAUGUCCAAACCAUCGGAGUCUUUCCCUUCUGAGCACUGUUUCCAGGUCCUCUACUAAAACUCCCAGCACUGUGUCCUCCCCUGCUCUCUUUACAUGUCUCUGCCAAAUAUUUCCCUCUCCCUGCCUCUGUCCCUGCCAAAUCACUCUCUCCCUGCCUGUGUCCCUGCCAUAUCUCUCCCUCCCUGCCAAAUCUAGCCUCUCCUCCUUACCUAACCUACCUUACCCUACCCUAAGCU
Eriocheir sinensis (Chinese mitten crab) is the source of this 811-nucleotide long non-coding RNA. RefSeq lists it as uncharacterized. Lineage: Eukaryota; Metazoa; Arthropoda; Malacostraca; Decapoda; Varunidae. The transcript has 3 exons. The record is from RefSeq and is a predicted model, not a curated record.